This is a long non-coding RNA of Epinephelus moara (kelp grouper), 360 nucleotides long. RefSeq lists it as uncharacterized. Lineage: Eukaryota; Metazoa; Chordata; Actinopteri; Perciformes; Serranidae. The record is from RefSeq and is a predicted model, not a curated record. The transcript is spliced from 3 exons.
CUCCUUAACUGACAAUAGUCUCAAGUUUGUUAAGCUCCUUUUUACAGCCAAGCUGCUGCAUGAAGCCACUGUGUUGUUGUCGUAGUGCAUCGGUCAAUGUGUUUGUCAAGAAAUCGCACAAACAGGCUGUACGUAGUGAUUAGCGGCAAGAGAGAGACCUUCAGAGAGACCAGAGAGAAGAAGCACAUGAUGGAAAAAGAGAGGACACCAUUUUGUCUUGAAGUACUUUAAUGAGGACCACGAACAACAUCUAAACAUAGAGAUAGGACACCUUGGCGUGAGGGGGAGAGAGAGAGGGGGACGACACCCAGCAAAGGGCCGUGGGCUGGAAUCAAGCCUGGGCUGCUGCAGUGAGGGCAG